CUCGAGUGGCGAACGGGUGAGUAACACGUGGGUGAUCUGCCCUGAACUUCGGGAUAAGCCUGGGAAACUGGGUCUAAUACCGGAUAUGACCAGUUGGUGCAUGCCUUCUGGUGGAAAGCCUUGUGCGGUUUGGGAUGGGCCCGCGGCCUAUCAGCUUGUUGGUGGGGUAAUGGCCUACCAAGGCGACGACGGGUAGCCGACCUGAGAGGGUGAUCGGCCACACUGGGACUGAGACACGGCCCAGACUCCUACGGGAGGCAGCAGUGGGGAAUAUUGCACAAUGGGCGCAAGCCUGAUGCAGCGACGCCGCGUGAGGGAUGACGGCCUUCGGGUUGUAAACCUCUUUCACCAGGGACGAAGCGUGAGUGACGGUACCUGGAGAAGAAGCACCGGCCAACUACGUGCCAGCAGCCGCGGUAAUACGUAGGGUGCGAGCGUUGUCCGGAAUUACUGGGCGUAAAGAGCUCGUAGGCGGUUUGUCGCGUCGUCUGUGAAAUUCUGCAACUCAAUUGUAGGCGUGCAGGCGAUACGGGCAGACUUGAGUACUACAGGGGAGACUGGAAUUCCUGGUGUAGCGGUGAAAUGCGCAGAUAUCAGGAGGAACACCGGUGGCGAAGGCGGGUCUCUGGGUAGUAACUGACGCUGAGGAGCGAAAGCGUGGGUAGCGAACAGGAUUAGAUACCCUGGUAGUCCACGCCGU
RNAcentral lists this ribosomal RNA (700 nucleotides) under Actinomycetes bacterium. Its description in RNAcentral is "bacterial SSU rRNA". It matches the Rfam family "Bacterial small subunit ribosomal RNA", at positions 90 to 803 of the family's 1533-position model. Lineage: Bacteria; Bacillati; Actinomycetota; Actinomycetes. The record is from RNAcentral.